RNAcentral lists this ribosomal RNA (497 nucleotides) under uncultured bacterium. RNAcentral's name for it is "partial 16S ribosomal RNA". It matches the Rfam family "Bacterial small subunit ribosomal RNA", at positions 28 to 507 of the family's 1533-position model. The record is from RNAcentral.
GAUGAACGCUGGCGGCGUGCCUAAUACAUGCAAGUCGAGCGAACAGACGAGGAGCUUGCUCCUCUGACGUUAGCGGCGGACGGGUGAGUAACACGUGGAUAACCUACCUAUAAGACUGGGAUAACUUCGGGAAACCGGAGCUAAUACCGGAUAAUAUAUUGAACCGCAUGGUUCAAUAGUGAAAGACGGUGUUGCUGUCACUAAAAGAUGGAUCCGCGCCGCAUUAGCUAGUUGGUAAGGUAACGGCUUACCAAGGCGACGAUGCGUAGCCGACCUGAGAGGGUGAUCGGCCACACUGGAACUGAGACACGGUCCAGACUCCUACGGGAGGCAGCAGUAGGGAAUCUUCCGCAAUGGGCGAAAGCCUGACGGAGCAACGCCGCGUGAGUGAUGAAGGUCUUCGGAUCGUAAAACUCUGUUAUUAGGGAAGAACAAAUGUGUAAGUAACUAUGCACGUCUUGACGGUACCUAAUCAGAAAGCCACGGCUAACUACGUG